UUUCAAAAGUAAUGCUUUUAUGUAUUAUUCACAUUUAUGCAAUCUUGUAUUAGAUCACAAAUGUAGUUUUAAAGUGUGUGUAGUAUUUGAGCUAAGCUUUUUUAUUACCUGAUAAAUUAGAAUAUUACUACGUCUUAAAAGGCAAGAAAAAAAUGGUUAGUUUAUUAUAUGAAUGAAAAGAGAAAUAAAUAUCUUGAGCUAUUUAUUUUUAUUUUAUUGUAAGAACAUAACAUGAGAUCUACUGUCUUGAUUUUUAAGUUAACACAGUAUUAUUAACUAUAGGCAACAUGUUGUAUAGCAGAUCUCUAGAACUUAUUGACUUUGCAUUACUGAAAUGUCACACUUAUGGAUGAGCAACUUUCCAUUCUCCUCUUAAUAUGGUUUGAAUUUGUAUCCCAACCCAAAUCUCAUGUGGAAUCUCUAAUUCCCAGUGUUGGAGGACAAGCCUGCUGGGAGGUGAUUGGAUCAUGGGGACAGAUUUCCCCCUUGCUGUUCUUGUGAUAGUGCAUGAGUUCUUAUGAGUUCUUGUUAUUUAAAACUGUUAGGCAGCUCCCCCUUCUCUCUCUCUCCCUCUCCUGCCACAGCCAUGUAGAACACGCCUACUUCCCUUUCACCAUUCACCAUGAAUGUAAGUUUCCUGGGGCCUCCUCAGCCAUGCUUCCUGUACAGCCUGCAGAACAGUAAGCCUGUUAAACCUUUUUUAUAUAUAUUACCCAAUCUCAGGUAUUUCUAUAUAGCAAUGCGAGAAUUGACUAAUACAAAAAAUUGGUACCUAGGAGUGAAGCAUUGCUAUAAAAAUAGCUGAAAAUAUGGAAGCCACUUUGGAACUGGGUAAUGGACAGAGGAUAGAAUAGUUUGGUAGACUUGGAGGAAGACAGGAAGAUGAGGGAAAGUUUUGGACUUCCUAGAGACUUGUUGAUUGGUUGUGACCAAAAUAUUCAUAGUGAAAUGGAAAUAUUGAUAGUGAAGUCCAGGCUGAGGAGAUCUCAGACAGCGAUGAAGAACAUAUUGGGGACUGCAGUAAAAGUCACUCUUGCUACGCUUUAGAAAAGAGACUGGUGGCAUUGUGCCCCUGCUCUAGGGAUCUAUGGAACUUUGAACUUGAGAGAGAUGAUUUAGGGCAUCUGGUAGAAGAAAUUUCUAAGCAGGAAGGCAUUCAAGAUGUGGUCUGGCUGCUUGUAACAGCAUAUGCUCAUAUGCAUGAGCAAAGAGAUUAUCUGAAACUGAUAGUUAUAUUUAAAAUGCAAAGACAUCAUAAAAGUUUGGAAAAUGUGCAUCCUGACCAUGUGAGAAAAAAAAAAAAAAUCUGUGGAGGAAUUCAAGCAGGCCUGCAAAAAUUUGCGUAAGUAAAGAGGAGUCAAAUGUUAAUAGCUAAGACAAUGGGAAAAAUGCCUCAAAGGUAUUUCAGACAUCUUUACAGCAACUACUCCUAUCACAGUCCCAGAGGCCUAGGAGGGAAGAAUGAUUUCCUGGGCUUGGCCCAGGGCCUGCUGCCCUUCACAACACUGGGACACUUCUGCUUGUGUUCCAGCUGUUCCAAUUGCAGCCACUACUAAAAGGGCUCCAGAUAUGUCUCAGGCUGCUGGUCCAAAGGGUGCAAGCUGUAAGCCUUGACAGUUUCCAUGUAGUGUUAAGCCUGCAGGUGUGCAGAGGGUAAGAACUGAGGCUUGGGUGCCUCUGCCUAGAUUUCAAAGGAUGUAUGGAAAGGUCUGGAUGUUGAGCAAGAUGUCUGCUGCAGGAGUGGAGCCCUCAUGGAGAACCUCUACUAGGACAGUGCAGAAGGGAAAUGUGGGGUUGGAGCCCAGACACAGAGUCUCCUCUGGGGUGCUGUCUAGUGGAGCUAUGAAAAGAGGGCCACCAUUUUCCAGACCCUAGAAUGGUAGAUCCACUGACAGCUUACACCUGGAAAAGCCACAGGUGCUCAAUACCAGACUGUGAAAGCAGCUGUGGGGCUGUUCCCUGCAGAGCCACAGGGGUAGAGCUUCUCAAGGUCUUGGAAGCCCACCCCUUGCAUCAGUGUUGAUUGAAUGUGAGAUAUAAAGUCAAAGGAGACUAUUUUGGUGCUUUAAGAUUUAAUGACUACCCUCCUGGGUUUUGGACUUGAAUAGGGCCUGUAGACACUGUCUUUUGGCCAGUUAAUACCUCUUCAAAAGGGAGUAUUUACACAUUACCUAUAUCCCUAUAGUAUCUUAGAAGUAACUAACUUGUUUUAGAUUUUACAGGCUACUAAGCAAAAGAGAAUUACCUUGUCUCAAAUGAGUUUUUGGACAGUGGACUUUUUUGUUAAUGCUGAAAUGAGUUAAGUCAUGGGGGACUGUUGAGAAGGGGUGAUUGUAUUUUGCAAUGUGAGAAGGAUAUAAGAUUUGGGAGGGGUGGUAGGGGAAUUAUACCGUUUGGAAUGAUAUGAGAUUUGGGAGAAGUGGUGGAGAAAUUGUAUGGUUUAGAUUUGUGUCCCUGCCCAAAUCUUAUGUUGAAUUGUAAUUCCCAGUGCUGGAGGAGGGGCCUGGUGGGAGGCGGUUGGAUCAUGGGGGCAGAUUUCCUUCUUGCUGUUCUUGGAAGAUCUGGUUGUUUAAAAGUGUAUAGUACCUCCCGCUUCUCUCUCUUACCCUUGCUCUGGUUGUUUAAAAGUGUAUAGUACCUCCCCCUUCUCUCUCUUACUCUUACUCUUACUCUUGCUCUGGCCAGCAAGAAAGCUUCCCCAGCAAUGCUUUCUGUACAGCUUGAGGAACCACUAGCUAAUUAAACCUUUUUUCUUUAUAAAUUACCCAGUCUCUGGUAUUUCUUUAUAGCAGUGCAAGAACAGACUACACCCUCCUCUGUGGCCCUGGCAACUGCUAUUGUAAUCUCUGUGUCUAUGAGCUUGACUAUAUUAGAUACUUCAUAUACAUUAAUAAUACAGUAUUUGUUCUUCUGUGACUGACUUAUUUCACUUAGCCUGAUGUCCUUGAGUUUCAUCUAUGUUGCCCAAUAUUGCAGAAUAUUCUUUUUUUUUAAAAUUGGAUAUUCCAUUCCAAAGAAGACGAACAAAUGGUCAAGAGCCAUGAAAGUGGACAAUGGGAAUUCCAGCUUUGGGACAUCAGACAAGGCUUGUUUUCACUAAACUAACUGGACACUUGUCAUUCGUAAAUUGACAAUAUAUGUAUAGGACUAUUUCUAGACAAUGUGUUUUGUUUUAUUGAUCUCUAUGUUAAUUCUUACACCAAUUUCACAUUGUCUUUAUUAGAGUUCCUUGACAGAAAGUCUCAAUAUCAGGUAUGAGUCCUUAAUAUUUGUUAUUUUUUAUCAUUGUAAUGGAUAUUUGCAUUUUUUAAUUUUCCCAUUUAAAUGUUGAAAUCAGAUUGUCAAUUUCUGGCAAAAUCAUCAACUGGAAAUGUGGUUUAAAAUAUUUAAAAUCCAUAAAUCAACUUGGGACCAUAUAAAAUGUUAACAUAAUAAAAUUUUUGAUUCAUAAAUGCAACAAAUAUCUUCAUAUAUUUAGUUUUUUCUCAAUUUUCCCAUCAAUUUUUAUAGAUUUUAGUAUACAC
This 3524-nucleotide long non-coding RNA is filed under the name Homo sapiens (human). Its description in RNAcentral is "HSALNT0202941". The record is from RNAcentral. Lineage: Eukaryota; Metazoa; Chordata; Mammalia; Primates; Hominidae.